This is a long non-coding RNA of Ruditapes philippinarum (Manila clam), 464 nucleotides long. RefSeq lists it as uncharacterized. The record is from RefSeq and is a predicted model, not a curated record. The transcript has 4 exons. Lineage: Eukaryota; Metazoa; Mollusca; Bivalvia; Venerida; Veneridae.
UCUACGGGAAGUGACGUCACGCCGACCUUCCCAAGUAUAUGGCAAUUCCUGCUUAACUACGGAGAUUCCGAUGAAAAAUUCCGGUUUAAAUCGUUCAAGUAGAUUAGACUAUAUAUGAACGAAACCAAAAAUUGAGAUCCUGGUCCUGGCUGAAAUUUAGAGUAUUGUAGCUGUAGCCUGUAUACCAUACAUUCAACAUGAAAAGGACUGUCAGGAUACUCAUACUGCAUAAAAUGGUCUAUAGCUAUCGCCUAGAAUGAUAAUUUCUUGCAUGGGAAUAUGCUGAAAGUAACUGACGGGGAGCAUGCAGUUUUUCUUACCAAUCAUAGAAGCAGUAAGAGACAGCCAAAAAAGUACUCAAACACUUGACAUACACAGAUUGUAGCUUAAUUGUUAAAACUAUUAAAGUGAAUUUAAGCUGCACUUGAACUGUAUUUUUGAAAUAAAACAUCUGAAGUAUUUAA